GGUCCCGGCUCCGUCAGUGACUGCCCGGGGCUCGCGCGUGAGGGGAGCCGGGCAGACGCCCGCCCCCUUCAAAGCCUGAGGAGGCUGCGGGGACCGGGUGAGGGGCUGGAAAGGGCGUGAGGGGUGGGGGGCGCUCAGGCCCUGCCGCCUUCCCGGGAGCGGCGAGGGCACGGGGGCCAAGCCGACUCUCACGUCUGGGCUUCCUCGGGGUGCACAAAACCCGAGGGAGCGGACUGAGACGUGGUCCCCGGGAGGCGGCUGUCCCCCCUCGGGUGGCCGCGCGGGAGGGCAGAGGCCGGAGGGGAAGGGGCCGAGCCAAGUGGCCGAGUCUGACACGUCGAAGGAGAAGGAGCUCUCUUCUCUCCGACCCUUGGCCCUCCGCACCUGAGGAGCCGCACUCUGUUGCCAUUCCAGGCUUGUGUGGGAGAAGACUGCUGUGCGCCUGUGUCUGUCCGCCCGGGCGACUCCAGCCCUCGGUUAAUGAAAGGCAAGAAUACUGGAGUAUGUUGCCAUUUCUUCUUCAAGGGAUCUUCCUGACCCAGGGAUCAAGCCUGCAUUUCCUGCAUUGUCAGGGGGUUUCUUUACCACUGAGCCACCAGGGAAGACCAUACAAGAAAAUAGACUGCAACAUUAAAUAAAGUUUUGAGUGAAAGAAAUAUGAAUCCUUUUUUUCUAUUUUUCUGUAUUGUGCAUAUUUUAUUUGGUGAGAAUUGUUUGAGUAGUUUACAGAUGUAUUGGCGCUUCAUGAUUUCAUUACUUCGUUGGAAUAAAAAAGGCUUGAGAUGUAGAAAAUGGCAAAAAGAAAAUGUGACUGUAUCAAUAAGCACAUUAAAUGUGAUUGGACUGAACACCCUACUGAAAAGGCAGAUUUUAUCAGGCUGAAUAAAAUACCAAGAUCUGACUCUCUGUCACAGGUCAGCAAGAGACACACUGAAAUUCAAGGAUAUAAGUAGAUAGAAAGUAAAGGAUGGAAAAGAUACAAUGUGUAAAAAACAGACACAGGAGAAUGUAAAUGGGUACAACCACUACAAAAAACAAUAAGGAGGUUCCUUAGGAAACUGAAGAUAGAAUUACGGUAUGAUCAGCAAUCCCACUCCUGGAUGUAUAUCCAGACA
This is a long non-coding RNA of Capra hircus (goat), 1115 nucleotides long. RefSeq lists it as uncharacterized. The record is from RefSeq and is a predicted model, not a curated record. Lineage: Eukaryota; Metazoa; Chordata; Mammalia; Artiodactyla; Bovidae. The transcript has 3 exons.